Molecule: ribosomal RNA, 468 nt
Filed under: uncultured bacterium
Lineage: Bacteria
Description: partial 16S ribosomal RNA
Rfam family: Bacterial small subunit ribosomal RNA
Source: RNAcentral
GACGAACGCUGGCGGCGUGCUUAACACAUGCAAGUCGAACGGAAAGGCCCUGCUUUUGUGGGGUGCUCGAGUGGCGAACGGGUGAGUAACACGUGAGUAACCUGCCCUUGACUUUGGGAUAACUUCAGGAAACUGGGGCUAAUACCGGAUAGGAGCUCCUGCUGCAUGGUGGGGGUUGGAAAGUUUCGGCGGUUGGGGAUGGACUCGCGGCUUAUCAGCUUGUUGGUGGGGUAGUGGCUUACCAAGGCUUUGACGGGUAGCCGGCCUGAGAGGGUGACCGGCCACAUUGGGACUGAGAUACGGCCCAGACGCCUACGGGAGGCAGCAGGGGGGAAUAUUGCACAAUGGGCGGAAGCCUGAUGCAGCAACGCCGCGUGCGGGAUGACGGCCUUCGGGUUGUAAACCGCUUUCGCCUGUGACGAGGCGUGAGUGACGGUAAUGGGUAAAGAAGCACCGGCUAACUACGUG